RNAcentral lists this long non-coding RNA (343 nucleotides) under Olea europaea (common olive). Its description in RNAcentral is "long non-coding RNA (OEUR_LNC014955)". Lineage: Eukaryota; Viridiplantae; Streptophyta; Magnoliopsida; Lamiales; Oleaceae. The record is from RNAcentral.
AAGGGCUUCUUUUCUUUAAGUUCCGCUUGCUGCUUUUCAUUUUGAUAGGAGUAGGUGCUUGCUGUUCGCUCGCUGUCUACUAAAUGAGCCUUCACUGCCCGCCCGGCCCCUAUCUUUAAUCUUAAGUAAAGUGAAGUCAAAUCAAUGAAGUGAACAGCCCAACCUCUUUGUUUGAAGCUUUGCCAGGAAGCUUCUACUUCUUGAAGCUUUGUUUCCCCUAAGAAUUCCGAAACACAACAAUAGACUUGCAACUAGAGUAUAGGAAAAAGCUUCUCUUUGAUAGCAGUCAUAGGGGAGUUCAGAAAGGAUCUGAUCGUAGAUGGAGACUGAAACCUGUGUGGGG